RNAcentral lists this ribosomal RNA (1369 nucleotides) under Duradens sp. SMH1708. RNAcentral describes it as "eukaryotic LSU rRNA". It matches the Rfam family "Eukaryotic large subunit ribosomal RNA", at positions 38 to 1437 of the family's 3401-position model. Lineage: Eukaryota; Fungi; Ascomycota; Sordariomycetes; Xylariales. The record is from RNAcentral.
GCAUAUCAAUAAGCGGAGGAAAAGAAACCAACAGGGAUUGCCCCAGUAACGGCGAGUGAAGCGGCAACAGCUCAAAUUUGAAAUCUGGCCCCCCGGGCCCGAGUUGUAAUUUGCAGAGGACGCUUUUGGCGCGGCACCUUCUGAGUCCCCUGGAACGGGGCGCCAGAGAGGGUGAGAGCCCCGUAGAGUCGGAUGCCAAGCCAGUGUAAAGCUCCUUCGACGAGUCGAGUAGUUUGGGAAUGCUGCUCAAAAUGGGAGGUAAAUUCCUUCUAAAGCUAAAUACCGGCUAGAGACCGAUAGCGCACAAGUAGAGUGAUCGAAAGAUGAAAAGCACUUUGAAAAGAGGGUUAAACAGCACGUGAAAUUGUUGAAAGGGAAGCGCUCACGACCAGACGUGCGCCGGGCGGAUCAUCCAGCGUUCUCGCUGGUGCACUCCGCCCGGCUCAGGCCAGCAUCGGUUCUGGCGGGGGGACAAAAGGCCCGGGAACGUAGCUCCCCAGGGAGUGUUAUAGCCCGGGCCACAAUGCCCCCGCCGCGACCGAGGUCCGCGCCCUGCAAGGAUGCUGGCGUAAUGGUCUUCAGCGACCCGUCUUGAAACACGGACCAAGGAGUCAAGGUUUUGCGCGAGUGUUUGGGUGUCAAACCCCCACGCGUAAUGAAAGUGAACGCAGGUGAGAGCUUCGGCGCAUCAUCGACCGAUCCUGAUGUCCUCGGAUGGAUUUGAGUAGGAGCGCAAUGCCUUGGACCCGAAAGAUGGCGAACUAUGCUUGGAUAGGGUGAAGCCAGAGGAAACUCUGGUGGAGGCUCGCAGCGGUUCUGACGUGCAAAUCGAUCGUCAAAUCUGAGCAUGGGGGCGAAAGACUAAUCGAGCCAUCUAGUAGCUGGUUGCCGCCGAAGUUUCCCUCAGGAUAGCAGUGUUGAUCUUCAGUUUUAUGAGGUAAAGCGAAUGAUUAGGGACUCGGGGGCGCUCUUUAGCCUUCAUCCAUUCUCAAACUUUAAAUAUGUAAGAAGCCCUUGUUGCUCAGUUGAACGUGGGCCUUCGAAUGUACCAACACUAGUGGGCCAUUUUUGGUAAGCAGAACUGGCGAUGCGGGAUGAACCGAACGCGGGGUUAAGGUGCCAGAGUGGACGCUCAUCAGACACCACAAAAGGCGUUAGUACAUCUUGACAGCAGGACGGUGGCCAUGGAAGUCGGAAUCCGCUAAGGACUGUGUAACAACUCACCUGCCGAAUGUACUAGCCCUGAAAAUGGAUGGCGCUCAAGCGUCCCACCCAUACCCCGCCCUCAGGGUAGAAACGACGCCCUGAGGAGUAGGCGGCCGUGGGGGUCAGCGACGAAGGCCAGGGCGCGAGCCCGGCUCGAGCGGCC